Populus trichocarpa (black cottonwood) is the source of this 1647-nucleotide RNA transcript. RefSeq lists it as uncharacterized. The record is from RefSeq and is a predicted model, not a curated record. NCBI's taxonomy places the organism in Eukaryota, Viridiplantae, Streptophyta, Magnoliopsida, Malpighiales, Salicaceae. The transcript is spliced from 3 exons.
UACCUCAAAUCAAACCCUCAUAAAUUCCCAAAAAAAAAUAAAAAUAAAUAAAUAACAAUGUCUCACAAUUCUCGGCAGUCCUUAGACUCAUGCACUCUCCAGCUCCAUUCAUGGAGACCUUUUCUCGAUUCCGAUCCCACCACCAGCUAUAAACCCCACGCCUCUUCCCCCACUCUCACUAAACGCCCUUGCCUUUCUGAUCGCUCCACUUCUUUCCCUUCCAACGUCGAUUCCAUCGACCUUUCCAAGCUCACUCUCCUUGAAGAUGACCAUAACAACACCAACAAUAAACCCAUCCCCGCUGUUACCAGCAGACCCUACAAGCGAGGCACCUUACGCCUUAUCCAGCGCAAGAGGCGGCGGAGAGGAUCCCGUUCUGUGUCCGGCCGGAGCUCCGAUAGAAGUGGGACCCGGCGGUGCUGCUCGGUUGGCGCGGCGUCUGCGGCUCAUGCGACUUGCUCGGAUUUCCAUGUGGCGGUGGGGACGGACUCGAGUGGGGAGCUGUUUGUGAAUGGGGACGCGAAUUGGGCGUCGGAUGUCAGUCAAGCAAAGAAUUCGGUAAAAGGAAGGGAGGAGAAAGAGAAUUUGUUGGGAGUGGGUAAUGUUAUUGGGAAUUUGGAUAGUGAGUCUGGAUAUGGGAGUGAGCCUGGGUAUAGAGGGGAUGCUGAGGUUGGUUACGGAGAUGAGGUUGAUGAGGAAGAGGAUGAUGCCAGGUUGUUGUUUUGGGGACACCACUUUCAAGAUUCUAAGAUGGAAAUGGUUGGAGAGAACACAUUUGAUUCAAAAACCCAUCACAGAUGUCGUCGCAAGAAGCAUGAUUGUAGUAGAAUGGUUGAUCCUGUGAGAUAACUCUCCCGGUUGUUGGUAAAUAGGAGGAGGAAGCGACCUUCUUUUACUUGAGAAGAUACAUUUAUGUCUUGCAGCCCUCUGCUUUCAAUUCCUCCUCAAUUUUGUGACAUGUUUUAGAGUCUCAUUUCUGCUGCUGAGGUUGGAUUUUCUCCUUAUUCUGUUGCCUUCAUGCACCUGCUCUGUGAUGAUCAAUCCACAAACUUGCUGGUUUAUAUGUCAGCGACAUGUCCAAGUAGUGCAUUUGCUUAUUUCUUGGAUGUGGCAUUGCAUUCAAACCAUUCUUAUCAAGGAAAGAACUGAAAGAUACAGGAGGUAUUACAUGAGCCAGAUUAUUCCAGGCCUUAUUUGCUGAAAUUCCCAAGUCACAAACAGUCUACUCAAAUGCACUUUUUUUGGAACAACCAACCUGGUGUUGCUGCCUUCGAGUAGUUUCUACUUGGAUUUUUUUAUUUCAUAAAAUGCCAUUACGAGCAGGAAACUCAAAGACUUCAAAGCGGCUUCUCAUCCUUUAUUUAUGAACAGAAGUCAUUCCCUGCAACAGAAGUCAUGCUUGUGUAUCGGAAACCUUUCAACCAGAAUGUUGCCAAGAGAAAUUAAAAAAUAUUGUGAAUUACUGAUGCUGAACAAUUUAGCCUCCGAGUUCCAGGAGAGCUCCUACUUGACCGUUGUUACGUUGUGAUUGUGGUGGGACUCUCAGAAUCACAAUUACAGUCUUUAACCAAAAAAAAGUGACUCAGUGAGUUUUGUAUUGCUGUAGCUUUUGUAAUCGUGGAUUAAAAAAAAUUGGUUUUUUUUAAA